AUGAACGCUGGCGGCGUGCUUAACACAUGCAAGUCGAACGAUGAUCUCCAGCUUGCUGGGGGGAUUAGUGGCGAACGGGUGAGUAACACGUGGGUAACCUGCCCUUAACUCUGGGAUAAGCCUGGGAAACUGGGUCUAAUACCGGAUAUGACUCCUCAUCGCAUGGUGGGGGGUGGAAAGCUUUAUUGUGGUUUUGGAUGGACUCGCGGCCUAUCAGCUUGUUGGUGAGGUAAUGGCUCACCAAGGCGACGACGGGUAGCCGGCCUGAGAGGGUGACCGGCCACACUGGGACUGAGACACGGCCCAGACUCCUACGGGAGGCAGCAGUGGGGAAUAUUGCACAAUGGGCGCAAGCCUGAUGCAGCGACGCCGCGUGAGGGAUGACGGCCUUCGGGUUGUAAACCUCUUUCAGUAGGGAAGAAGCGAAAGUGACGGUACCUGCAGAAGAAGCGCCGGCUAACUACGUGC
RNAcentral lists this ribosomal RNA (468 nucleotides) under uncultured Arthrobacter sp. RNAcentral describes it as "bacterial SSU rRNA". It matches the Rfam family "Bacterial small subunit ribosomal RNA", at positions 29 to 508 of the family's 1533-position model. The record is from RNAcentral. Lineage: Bacteria; Bacillati; Actinomycetota; Actinomycetes; Micrococcales; Micrococcaceae.